GUGAGACUGCGGAGGGAUCAUU
This 22-nucleotide ribosomal RNA is filed under the name Fusarium proliferatum. RNAcentral's name for it is "partial 18S ribosomal RNA". Lineage: Eukaryota; Fungi; Ascomycota; Sordariomycetes; Hypocreales; Nectriaceae. The record is from RNAcentral.